Haliotis rufescens (red abalone) is the source of this 1312-nucleotide long non-coding RNA. RefSeq lists it as uncharacterized. The transcript has 5 exons. NCBI's taxonomy places the organism in Eukaryota, Metazoa, Mollusca, Gastropoda, Lepetellida, Haliotidae. The record is from RefSeq and is a predicted model, not a curated record.
UUUCUUCGAUGCGCAAAAUGCUUGGUAAACACCCAGUUUAUAUUCAGGGACAAAUGGUUGUUGACAAUAAUUGGCGUAGGUUCAGCUGCGUGUUCCAUGAUCCAUUUGUAUUCUACCCAAUUGUACACUGACAAAGCAUUGCGGUGUUCUCAUAUUACGCUCCACUAUGGUUGGAACAGUCGCAUACAAUAUACGUGUAAGUACACGGGUCAAUGGAUGUCACGGUGACAUUGUCAGUGUCAUUUUAAAGCAUCUGUAGUUAACCCUCUCUUGAGAAAAACAUAAUUAGAUAGUAUUAGGUUCGUACCUUAAAGUUCAUAAAGUAUGAUUGUUGUAAUCUGACUGUAAAUACAAGCAAAAAGGUGUUACCCCUGCCGCCAAAUGAAGGACACGCCAUUGCACGAACCAACUUUACACACAGGACACUCGGGACAACGUCUCUGCAUGGUGGAUUGAUCUUGUGGAUACCCACCUAGCUUGGGAAUGCUACCUCAACCAGGUAGCCAGACGUUUCCAUUGGCAUCACAUGUGACAAAGUUCAUGGAAAUAUACGUGUAGCAGCCUCGACUUACAAGAACAGGAAUUGUUGUCUUUGGGUCCAUCAAGUUGAGGAUAAUACAUGUAUCCCCGGCACAAGCCCCGUGCCCAGGUGGAGCGGCGGCACCCACUACAACAUACACCAUAACUACUGCCAUAAACUACACCGUCUUCAUAUGGGUGCGACCAGGUGAUAGCCAGUAUGUCGUCACCUGCAACCCUACGUGCAGUCCUAUCGCUGGAUACAGUGCAACCCUGGACGCCACACACUCGACACUCACUGUAGACAGUGUUGGGAUGAUAGAUGCUGGGACGUGGGUGAUGGAAGAUGCAGAUGGUGCAUCAACUGCGUCGCAUGACGUGUGUCAGCUGAGCAUCUCAGAUAUUGCUACGACAUCAAGUGACACGCCCACAUCAUUCGAAACCAGAACCCGGUCAGACAACACCACGCCACCAGUCUCCCCAUCGACAUUCGAUGGCUCGUCCUUAGGUCUUUCUCUAGGACUUGGGCUGACACUGGCAGUUGUUUUUAUUUGUAUUUAUAUUGCAGUGUAUUUCGUCCGGAAAAAUUAUUGGUGACACUGUCGUAGAUUUUGUUUGUUUGUUAGUUGUUUCAAUCCGCACUUGAAUGACCCAACUGAAUGAGACUGGUUUGAAGUGAGUCUCUGGUAACAAUACAUUCCAUAACCCUACCUGCACGCAAGGUCUUAUUAUAAACAUGCUGGUUAGAGAAAUUUGAAAUUUUAUCAGAACAUGAUACAAACUUAUCCAGUGA